UACGGAGGAUGCAAGCGUUAUCCGGAAUGAUUGGGCGUAAAGCGUCCGCAGGUGGCUAUGUAAGUCUGCUGUUAAAGAGUGAGGCUCAACCUCAUAAGAGCAGUGGAAACUACAUGGCUAGAGUGCGUUCGGGGCAGAGGGAAUUCCUGGUGUAGCGGUGAAAUGCGUAGAUAUCAGGAAGAACACCAAUGGCGAAAGCAGCUCUCUGGGACGGUACUGACGCUGAGACGCGAAAGCGUGGGGAGCGAACAGG
Molecule: ribosomal RNA, 253 nt
Filed under: uncultured bacterium
Lineage: Bacteria
Description: partial 16S ribosomal RNA
Rfam family: Bacterial small subunit ribosomal RNA
Source: RNAcentral